AAUCAACGCUGGCGGCGUGCCUCAGACAUGCAAGUCGAACGCGAAAGUUCCCUUCGGGGAGCGAGUAGAGUGGCGCACGGGUGAGCAACACGUAGGUAAUUUGCCUUUGGGUGGGGAAUAACUCAGGGAAACUUGAGCUAAUACCGCAUAAUGCAGCGGCUCGACAUCGAGACAGUUGUUAAAGCGGGGGAGUUGGAGCAAUCCGACCUCGCGCCUAAAGAGAAGCCUGCGGCAGAUUAGCUAGUUGGUAAGGUAAUGGCUUACCAAGGCGACGAUCUGUAACCGGCCUGAGAGGGCGGUCGGUCACACUGACACUGACAUACGGGUCAGACUCCUACGGGA
RNAcentral lists this ribosomal RNA (342 nucleotides) under uncultured bacterium. RNAcentral describes it as "bacterial SSU rRNA". It matches the Rfam family "Bacterial small subunit ribosomal RNA", at positions 32 to 346 of the family's 1533-position model. The record is from RNAcentral.